Molecule: non-coding RNA, 106 nt
Organism: Chelonoidis abingdonii (Abingdon island giant tortoise)
Lineage: Eukaryota; Metazoa; Chordata; Testudines; Testudinidae
Source: RefSeq, a predicted model, not a curated record
CCUUCUGUUCUCCCAAUCAGCUCUAGUUACAGGCUUGUCUAUUCUUCUCAGUAAGGAGUCCCCAGUCACGUAGACCUGCCUUUUCCUGGUGAUGGUGCGAUUUUCC